Molecule: ribosomal RNA, 425 nt
Filed under: uncultured Bacillus sp.
Lineage: Bacteria; Bacillati; Bacillota; Bacilli; Caryophanales; Bacillaceae
Description: bacterial SSU rRNA
Rfam family: Bacterial small subunit ribosomal RNA
Source: RNAcentral
GCAACGCGAAGAACCUUACCAGGGCUUGACAUCCCCUGACCGCGUAUGAAAGUACGUUUUCACCCUCGGGUGACAGGGAGACAGGUGGUGCAUGGUUGUCGUCAGCUCGUGUCGUGAGAUGUUGGGUUAAGUCCCGCAACGAGCGCAACCCCUACGUUUAGUUGCUAACGCGUGAAGGCGAGCACUCUAGACGAACUGCCGUUGACAAACGGAGGAAGGUGGGGAUGACGUCAAAUCAUCAUGCCCCUUAUGUUCUGGGCUACACACGUGCUACAAUGGCCGGUACAGACGGACGCAAAGCCGCGAGGUGGAGCAAAUCCUAGAAAGCCGGUCUCAGUUCGGAUUGCAGGCUGCAAUUCGCCUGCAUGAAGUCGGAAUCGCUAGUAAUCGCAGGUCAGCAUACUCGCGUCGAUACGUCCGGCCUU